RNAcentral lists this long non-coding RNA (310 nucleotides) under Homo sapiens (human). RNAcentral describes it as "non-protein coding lnc-PDK3-8:1". The record is from RNAcentral. Lineage: Eukaryota; Metazoa; Chordata; Mammalia; Primates; Hominidae.
UUCUAUCCACGUUGUAACCUAAAUAUCUCUGAUCUGUAGCUAUAUGGGCCUGGGGACAGACUUAUCAACAGAUAUCCACGUUCGUCUUAAUUCACUGAAUGUUUCUUGAGCCCCACCUUUUUACUGGGUACUGGGGUAGCUCCAGGCAAUAUAGUGAAAAUCCAUCUACUCUCUUUCUUCAAUGAAUUUAGUCUAGAGAAGAAUUUUAAAUGUAGUGUGCUUUUUUUUGCUUUUUAAGAUCCUGAAUACCAUGAAUAAGAAUUGCCAGAUUUGAAAUGCUUUGUUAAGCUUUUUUUAGGCAUGCAGUUCU